CAGCGCCACGGUAAUACAGAGGGUGCGAGCGUUAAUCGGAUUUACUGGGCGUAAAGCGUGCGUAGGCGGCUUCUUAAGUCGGAUGUGAAAUCCCUGAGCUUAACUUAGGAAUUGCAUUCGAUACUGGGAAGCUAGAGUAUGGGAGAGGAUGGUAGAAUUCCAGGUGUAGCGGUGAAAUGCGUAGAGAUCUGGAGGAAUACCGAUGGCGAAGGCAGCCAUCUGGCCUAAUACUGACGCUGAGGUACGAAAGCAUGGGGAGCAAACAGGAUUAGAUACCCCGGUAGUCCCUGUCUCUUAUACA
This 301-nucleotide ribosomal RNA is filed under the name uncultured bacterium. RNAcentral describes it as "partial 16S ribosomal RNA". It matches the Rfam family "Bacterial small subunit ribosomal RNA", at positions 509 to 808 of the family's 1533-position model. The record is from RNAcentral.